RNAcentral lists this ribosomal RNA (366 nucleotides) under Psychosaura macrorhyncha. Its description in RNAcentral is "partial 12S ribosomal RNA". It matches the Rfam family "Bacterial small subunit ribosomal RNA", at positions 787 to 1357 of the family's 1533-position model. Lineage: Eukaryota; Metazoa; Chordata; Lepidosauria; Squamata; Scincidae. The record is from RNAcentral.
CCACUAUGCUUAGCCCUUAACAUAGACAAUAAAAACACAAUAUUGUCCGCCAGAGAACUACAAGUGAAAAACUAGAAACUCCAAGGACUUGGCGGUGCCCCACAUCAACCUAGAGGAGCCUGUCCUAUAAUCGAUAAUCCACGCUGCACCUUACCAUUUCUAGNCAACUCAGCCUAUAUACCGCCGUCGAAAGCCUACCUUAUGAAAGAAUCAAAGUAAGCAAAAUAGUCAACAACUAAAACGUCAGGUCAAGGUGUAGCACAUGAAAUGGAAGAGAUGGGCUACAUUUUCUACCUUAGAAAACACGAACAGCACAAUGAAACCUGCACUCAAAGGCGGAUUUAGCAGUAAGACAAAAAAGAAACU